CCCGGUAGCUAAAUGCGGAAGAGAUAAGUGCUGAAAGCAUCUAAGCACGAAACUUGCCCCGAGAUGAGUUCUCCCUGAGACUUUAGGUCUCCUGAAGGAACGUUGAAGACGACGACGUUGAUAGGCCGGGUGUGUAAGCGCAGCGAUGCGUUGAGCUAACCGGUACUAAUGAACCGUGAGGCUUAACCUU
RNAcentral lists this ribosomal RNA (190 nucleotides) under Salmonella enterica. RNAcentral's name for it is "partial 23S ribosomal RNA". It matches the Rfam family "Bacterial large subunit ribosomal RNA", at positions 2741 to 2925 of the family's 2925-position model. Lineage: Bacteria; Pseudomonadati; Pseudomonadota; Gammaproteobacteria; Enterobacterales; Enterobacteriaceae. RNAcentral also lists the same sequence under 2 other names. The record is from RNAcentral.